CCAGCCUUUGAGGUUUUUAUUUCUACAUUUCACUUUUUUAUUCUUGAAUCAUUUAUAUAUCUAGAAGGUGUGGUCAUCAAUAAAAUACAUGUCUAAAUAAAAGGACGCUGAUGCAUAAGAGAUGACAUCAUGGGCUCAGGAGUGAGACACUUUCACUUCACACACACUUCAUCCGUUAUUACGAUCAAUUAUUGAUCAGAGAAGCUUUGAACGCGGCAGCAUCACAAAUUAUUAAUCACCCUUUUAUGUGUUUGUAUUAGCCGACCUGUCAAUCAAUUUGGGAACCUGUGGCUUGAGGGUCGGCGGAUUUACUAAAUUAUUAACGAGGGUUUGAAGAAAAUGAUUUUAUAUAUAAAAUAUGAAAUUCAAAGGUUAUAUUGACAGAAUUAUGACAUCACAUUACAGGUCAUUUAGCUGACGCGACUUACAUCACACUUUGAACACACGGCUUUAUACAUUUUGCCCGGGGAGCAAUUAGGGGUCAGGUGUCUUGCUCAGGGACACUUGGACAUGGGACAUGGGGCAGCCGGGACUCGAACCGCCAACCUUGCGGUUUCCAGCGUUCCCUCUCUACCCCGGCGCCACGUCGACCCCUUGAGAUUGGGAAUAAUCUUUAUAUGGAUUAUUUAGAAUAUAUUCUGGAUCUAAUUGUGUGUAUUAAGUCAUAAGGUAACACAGUUAAAAGUACACAAAGACUCUUGUUGUGUCUUUAUUAAUGAUCUUUAUUAGUGACAGGAAGACAUCAGCCCCACAGGAAGUGGACGAGACAGCCGACGCCAUCAGCGAACCGUGUGUGUGUGACAGUGAGACUGUGUGUGUGUGUCAGUGUGUGUGUUCGUGUGUGUGACAGUGAGACUGUGUGUGUGUGUGUGUGUGUCAGUGUGUGUGUGUGUGAGACUGACAGUGAGACUGUGUGUGUGUGUGUGUGUGUUUUGAAGAUAAAGACCCACUGUGGCUCUGAACAGUAGCUCACCUGUUAGAGACCAUUUUUGAGACACUGAAGAAGAGGAGGAGUAAGAGGGAGAGGAGGAGGAAGAAAAAAGGAGGAAGAGGAGGAAAGUGAGACUGUAAAAGAGUGAUGAACAACCUUUAGAUCAACUGAACGCCGAAUUUGUAUUAUUAUAUAAAUGAAUAAUAUUAUUUUGUUUUCUAACCAGGAUCCUGUUUUAUUGUGAAAAUCCCCCUGCUUCCUGUCCCUGUGUGUGUGUCUCCCCUCUGUGUAGUCAGACUAAUUGCCUGGUAUUUAACAUGAAUUGCUGUGUUUGGGUGCUUACGUGUCAAUUAAGUGUCUAUUCAUGUUCCAUCGGCCAUUUAGCCAAUUAGAGGUCGUUAGUGAGCGAUGUCACCGAGCACCAAUCACGUGUUCCGGGAGCCCGAUCGCUAACGAGCUGAUCACUCUUAUUAUGAGGUGUCAUCAUCUCAUCUAAAUAAUUCACUUUUUGAUUUGAUUCUCAUUAAACCCACACAAGUGGGGAAGUAACCAUGAAGAGAGGAGCCCCGGAGAUCAACUCCCUUCUGAUGAUGUCACCAGAGAAGCCCCUUGGGGGGGGAGGGGGGGCUGCGGGGGAUGUUUGUUGUGAUUUUAAUGAAACUGGGUUGAUGAAGAAUCCAUUUCAUUCUGCAGCAGAUUGGGCUCAACGUGGGUCACGUGACGUUGUCAUGUGACCCUCAUGAGACAGUUUGAACCUUUUGAAGUUUCCACUUUGAUUACUACGUCUGUUGUGUCUCUGUGUUACUUUGUGUAGUUUGUUUGUGUGUAGUGUGUGUACCUCUAUGCUGCUGACCCGCCCCUCCUGGAAGGAACAGUCCUGCAGGUUGUUGGUGCAGACGUGACGAUAUUUACACCAAUGACACGGGAACACGCUGCUGACACAGGAAGUACACCUGGGGAGGGUAAAAACGCUUGUUGUCAUGGAGAUGAAAUAUUAUUCCGUCACAAGUCUGAAUAAAAACCUUCAAUCUCAUUCUCUUAUGUCUUAAUAUCGUCUCACUUCCUGUCUGCGUCUCAUUGGUUCCCAUUGAAGACACUAAUCUUCAGUGGUGUGUGUGUGUGUGUGUGUGUGUGUGUUUCUGAGACUGAUGCUCUGAGCUGCUGUUACCAUGGCAACCAGCGAGUCUGCCGCACAGAUUAUGUUACUCCUGCAAAUCUGCUCCCCCAAGGGGGAAGGAGAGGAUACAAGCAGGGAGGAAGCAAGAUGAGAGGAGGAAACAAAGACAAGAAACAAGAGGAGGAUGAAGGGAGAGAGGAAAGGAGGGUGGAUAGGGUAGUAAGGAGUGUAGGAGUGAGGAGAGAGGGGUGCAGGAGUGAGAAGUAAGGAGUGAGGAGGGAGGAGUGAAGAGAGAGGAGUGUAGGAUGGAGGAGUAAGGAGAGAGGAGUGUAGGAGUGAGGAGUGUAGGAGUAAGGAGAGAGGAGUGUAAGAGUGAGGAGUGUAGGAGUAAGGAGAGAGGAGUGUAGGAGGGAGGAGUAAGGAGAGAGGAGUGUAGGAGUAAGGAGUGUAGGAGUAAGGAGAGAGGAGUGUAGGAGAGAGGAGUGGAGUAAGGAGUGUAGGAUUGAGGAGUGUAGGGUAAGGAGUGUAGGAGUAAGGAGAGAGGAGUGUAAGAGUAAGGAGAGAGGAGUGUAGGAGUGAGGAGAGAGGAGUGCAGGAGUAAGGAGAGAGGAGUGUAGGAGUGAGGAGAGAGGAGUGUAGGAGUAAGGAGAGAGGAGUGCAGGAGUAAGGAGAGAGGAGUGUAGGAGUGAGGAG
This is a long non-coding RNA of Gasterosteus aculeatus aculeatus (three-spined stickleback), 2741 nucleotides long. The record is from Ensembl. Lineage: Eukaryota; Metazoa; Chordata; Actinopteri; Perciformes; Gasterosteidae.